This 484-nucleotide ribosomal RNA is filed under the name uncultured bacterium. RNAcentral describes it as "partial 16S ribosomal RNA". It matches the Rfam family "Bacterial small subunit ribosomal RNA", at positions 30 to 507 of the family's 1533-position model. The record is from RNAcentral.
AUUGAACGCUGGCGGCAGGCCUAACACAUGCAAGUCGAGCGGAUGAAGGGAGCUUGCUCCUGGAUUCAGCGGCGGACGGGUGAGUAAUGCCUAGGAAUCUGCCUGGUAGUGGGGGAUAACGUCCGGAAACGGGCGCUAAUACCGCAUGCGUCCUGAGGGAGAAAGUGGGGGAUCUUCGGACCUCACGCUAUCAGAUGAGCCUAGGUCGGAUUAGCUAGUUGGUGGGGUAAAGGCCUACCAAGGCGACGAUCCGUAACUGGUCUGAGAGGAUGAUCAGUCACACUGGAACUGAGACACGGUCCAGACUCCUACGGGAGGCAGCAGUGGGGAAUAUUGGACAAUGGGCGAAAGCCUGAUCGAGCCAUGCCGCGUGUGUGAAGAAGGUCUUCGGAUUGUAAAGCACUUUAAGUUGGGAGGAAGGGCAGUAAGUUAAUACCUUGCUGUUUUGACGUUACCAACAGAAUAAGCACCGGCUAACUUCGUG